Molecule: ribosomal RNA, 433 nt
Filed under: uncultured bacterium
Lineage: Bacteria
Description: partial 16S ribosomal RNA
Rfam family: Bacterial small subunit ribosomal RNA
Source: RNAcentral
AACGAAAGAGGGAGGAAAGCCUAACACAUGCAAGUCGAACGAGACCUUCGGGUCUAGUGGCGCACGGGUGCGUAACGCGUGGGAACCUGCCCUUAGGUUCGGAAUAACUCCCCGAAAGGGGUGCUAAUACCGGAUAAUGUCUUCGGACCAAAGAUUUAUCGCCUUUGGAUGGGCCCGCGUUGGAUUAGCUAGUUGGUAGGGUAAAAGCCUACCAAGGCGACGAUCCAUAGCUGGUCUGAGAGGAUGAUCAGCCACACUGGGACUGAGACACGGCCCAGACUCCUACGGGAGGCAGCAGUGGGGAAUAUUGGACAAUGGGCGAAAGCCUGAUCCAGCAAUGCCGCGUGAGUGAUGAAGGCCUUAGGGUUGUAAAGCUCUUUUACCCGGGAUGAUAAUGACAGUACCGGGAGAAUAAGCUCCGGCUAACUCCGUG